GACCUCGGAUCAGGUAGGGAUACCCGCUGAACUUAAGCAUAUCAAUAAGCGGAGGAA
This 57-nucleotide ribosomal RNA is filed under the name Penicillium chrysogenum. Its description in RNAcentral is "partial 28S ribosomal RNA". RNAcentral also lists the same sequence under 15 other names. Lineage: Eukaryota; Fungi; Ascomycota; Eurotiomycetes; Eurotiales; Aspergillaceae. The record is from RNAcentral.